AUGUAUCCGGAGUAUAUUAUUUUUUACAGCUUCUGUUUCGAUGGCAUAUUUAAAAAAGUCCUCCCGAUGACCUCGCGGUGUUGGACUUCCUUCCCCGCUCCGGUCAAGCUACCUGAACACAUCUCAAUGUGCUGGACUCAUGGUACUGAACGUUGCAUGGUCAAAAGCUUUACCGACACAAACAAGGCUCUUUCUCAUCUGCCUUUGUAUUUGAUAUUUAUGUGUAUAAAAGAAACACUAUUUUGUAAUGUAUGCUCGUUUGUUCGUCGCCCGGUUUCCUCAAGUAGACAGAUAAAUGCGUUGUUCAAGCUUCUUUUUUUUCUUUUUUUUCUCCAGAGGACUUAAAGGCAGACGCUCACUCAGUUUGGUGCAGCUAUGACUGGUCUGGGCCCGUCUGGUGAAGUGAGUUCCAGCAGGGUUCCCUUCGAACCAUCUGUCUACCCAGGCAACACACACACACACACACACACACACACACACACAAACAAACAGGGCAAAUUUGUAGAAGGCUGAUGAUUUUUAGAUCCUUUAUUAACAUUCAAAGUUGGUUUUUCAGAUUUCAGAGCUGCCUUCACAAGAUCCAACUUUCACCCAUCCGAUGGUUUUUUGACUUCUUUGAUUUUUGCGAUUCUUACCAACAUCACAUAAAAACUGAAACACUCAUACUAGAGGUCUAAAUUCAGCAUGAAGCCUGUUUUAGGCAACACAGUCCUUGCAAAUGGGUUGGCCUGCCGCCUCCCGUAGGGACGCCGUGUCGGGACAGAGCCACAACCUGUCAAAUGUUAAGUGCUGAAUGAUUGAGUGUAAGAGCAACAUCCAGUUUCAUUAUAUCAAUGCAUUCAUCUCUGUCUCGCGCAGAAGAAGACGACAUCAAACACCCUGGAUUCCUUUUCUUUUUUUCAUGUUACAUCCAUCAGCCUCGUCCUCUUUGUCCUCUGGAGAUAAAAUUCCACACAGAAAGCAUCGCUUAACAAAGCAGGAAAAAAAAAUAGCUUUGCAUUGAUCCUGAGAAAUGUAUGGUCAUAAUAAAGUAUAUUAUUUCACAUGUGCAUGUGGCCUCUGCGUCUUUUUGCCAUCAUCUUUUCAUGACCAAGAGCAUUGAUAUUUCUUGGAAAUGUGAUGACCAAAACGUAUGAAAUGCACCUGACCAAAAGCUUCAAUUUACACAAGAAGAGGAAAUUCACAGAUGUUGAUUGUGCAGCUGUCUAUACAAAGAAAACACAUUUCUCUGCUAAUAACUGGACCAGUAUUGUACACAACUAACAUUUAACUCCUGUGCACAUUAACAAGCCUGGAAAAAAAUUGUUAUUAGAUUUUCUUUUAUGCAUUAUCUGCUUGUGGCGCAGCAGUCGCGCCACUGUUGUUGAAAUGACUCAAUAUUGUAGUAAGACUACCUCGACUUCGGGAAAAGCGAACUGUACAUUUUUUGUUUCCGUAGAUUCAUCUCUUUCGCUGUGGGAGCAUUGUAACGCAACCUGGGCAGAGGAGAGAUAAAUAAGUCGGGGGAAUUGCCCUUGUCGGCUUGUGGGAAUCUCCCAGAAACGACUUCCAGCUUCAGGGACAUUCCCAGGAUGCAGCUGCAUUUAGCCUCUAAUAAAAAAAAAUCCUUUGCUGGAAGGCUGCAUUUUACUGUGGCUCCUGAAAAACCACCAUUACCAGUAACACUCGUGAGGUAUGUGCCAUUAAGCUGAACUCAGAACCGCGUGUACCGCAGGUAGACACGGAGGGCAGUUCGCUGAAACGGUUAAAUGUCAUAAGCUCCAAAAUUAAAACAGGUCUGAGAAAAAAACGUCAGUCUCCAGCUGAGGCGAUACGCGUCUCUGGCAGUCGGCAUGAGAAGAAGCCAGAGCAGCCGCAGGCCGCUCAGCAACUGAAUGGUUUUCAGCCUUGUUUGAUGUCACGACCGUCUGUUCAUAUCAUGUAUUUAUGGCUAUUUUCACGGGUUACGAGGAAGCUCUAAUGCACAGAAUGUACACAUGCCUGUGCGCUCCGCACAAGUCAAGGACACCUACCCGUGCAAAACCUCCAUAAACAUUUAGACUGGAAUUCAAGUGUUUGAAAGUGUAUAUCAUUGUAAACAUGGAGAUUAACAUUCCUGUCAGCCUCGAGUUAUUUUGGAUCCAUUGCGAAACUCAAAUAGAAAAUGAUCCACUCAACGUGUCUGGGGGAAAAUAAAAGUUUUUUUACUCUUAGACUCGGGGCGCCGACUCUUAACGUCCCUCGGUGAGAAAUACUUUGUUAACGUUUGACUUGCAGAGCACUUCUCUCAGUCCCCAAUAAGAGCAAACAUGAAAUCCCAUCUGAAGACGGAGGUAGACACAGUCACGCGGAGCCUGUUUGGAUAGUCAGGGUCGCCGCUCGAUAUCAGGCCGACGUCUGGCUGAGUGAACCGAGCUGAACUUUUGUUCAUUUUCUAAUUUGGGAGAGAGAGAGACGAGAUAUGGGCCUCUUUAGGUAAACAUCCUUGACAGCCACCUGCAUGUGAAACCAGACCUUUUCUCCCCGUCUUCUUUCUCUCCUCUGUUCCCUUGAUCUCUGCUCGCCUUCCAGUCAGUAUCAUGACUGACCUUCUUCGGUAUAGCGUAUUGUAUAGUGCAGUUUUAAUCAUCAUACACAGUUUCAGUCCCCAAAAAAAUCCCUACAGAGGAUCUUUGAUCCAAAGGUUGUAUCAAAUGUUCUUCAUCGAGCAUGUGUAGACAGUGUUUCUUCUUCUUCUUCUUCUUCGGUAAUGUUGUUGUUGAGUCAGUUUAUUACCUUGGCUGUGUGCAGGAGAGCCAUAUGUCAGGAGUGUUGCCAAGCCAGAAGAAGAAAAAAAAUACACUUCCUAGCCAAAAUUUCUCAACAGAGAAGCAAGUGACCCUGGCAGAGCUCGGAUUGUGCUUCCGACUAACAUAACAGCAAAUUUCCAAAAGGUUAAUAUUGUCCUUGGCUUGUCUGUGGGAUCCCGUGUAGCAGAGUUGCUGUGGCACAAACCCAACACAACCAAGCACGUUCAUUCACCCCUUCAUACCGUGUGGAAUGAUGGCACUGGGGCGAUCCUUACCUGUGAGCCGGUUCUGGGCCACAAGCAAUGCCACAUCAGCCAAGAGCGGCCCAAAUAAACCAGCACUGGUCCUGAUCCUGCCAAAAGCACCGAAUCCUGAUUUGGGAAGUUUGGGGCCCCAUUUGCUAUUUGAAAUGUGGGCCAGCGGAAAGGCCAACAGUGCUGCGUCGUUUCCUGAAGUGGCCCACAGAAGAUGUAAAUCAGAUAAGAUGUUCCUUUAUUGAUCCCCGAGUGGGGGGAAUUCAAAUUUGACACAGCAGCACAGAAGUGAAGCAGCACAGAAAACAGCAUCUAAGGUAUAUAAGAUUAAUUAGAAAUAGUUUACAAUAAGAAAUACUAUUAACAGAAACAUGCAUUGUAAAAUAAAGUUAUUGUACAAUCUGGGUUGUUUACUGAAUUUGUUUUUUGUAAUAAUACUCAAACUUGCUCUACAAUAUCUGCUUAACAACUUACAGCAACAUUUAAGUUUUGUUUAUGGUUUAGGCACAGGUAGCUGUUUAAAAGAGAGAAAAAAAAUCACAGUGACUUCAGACAGGUUUAUUAACCAAAAGCAGGAUCUCUUUGUUCACCUCCCCACCACUCCAACCAACUCCACCUGCAACCGCCGUGAUUGAUGAGGUUGGUACAGUGCGUUGUUUGCUUACGUUGGUUGGCCACUGUCAGUCAUAUCUGGUCGAAACACAACCACACAGACCUGAAGCAGAUUAGCUGCCUUCGACUUUGAUUCUUAUAUAGUCGCAGACAUUUGUUGUUGCAUAGAAAAACUGUCGGAUUUAAGACCAAGUUUUUUAGGGGGCAUUUAUACAUUCUUUGCUGUCUCCAGAGGAAGACGUUUAUCUUGCGAUAAGGCCAAGAUCGGACAGUCAUAGUGCGAUUAAAGCCCAUUCAACACGUGAUUAAAAACGUGGUAUGAACCCAUGGCUUUAUCAUUCAAUCGUGGCUUUAUGCUCCCAACAGUGGUUACUACAGCGAAGUCAUAUCCAGGCCUUUUAACAUCUUUCACUGGACGUCUUCUGAGAGGCUGCGGUUGGUUAAUGGUCUCCAGGACAUGCUACUCAUCUACUCCUUAUGAACAUGGGAGAGCUAAGCUCGGGUAAUUGCUG
Long non-coding RNA from Scophthalmus maximus (turbot), 4146 nucleotides. The record is from Ensembl. NCBI's taxonomy places the organism in Eukaryota, Metazoa, Chordata, Actinopteri, Pleuronectiformes, Scophthalmidae.